RNAcentral lists this ribosomal RNA (470 nucleotides) under uncultured archaeon. Its description in RNAcentral is "bacterial SSU rRNA". It matches the Rfam family "Archaeal small subunit ribosomal RNA", at positions 376 to 849 of the family's 1478-position model. The record is from RNAcentral.
GGAUUCCAAGUGCUCAUGGUUUUCCAUGGGCUGUUUUCCUGCCUAAAUAGCAGGGAGAGUAAGGGCUGGGUAAGACGGGUGCCAGCCGCCGCGGUAAUACCCGCAGCUCGAGUGGUGAUCGUUCUUAUUGGGCCUAAAGCGUCCGUAGCCGGCUCAGUAAAUCCUUGGGUAAAUCGGGCAGCUUAACUGUCCGACUUCCGGGGAGACUGCUGAGCUUGGGACUGGGAGAGGUAGGAGGUACUCCGGGGGUAGAGGUGAAAUUCUGUAAUCCCCGGGGGACCACCAGUGGCGAAGGCGUCCUACUUGAACGGGUCCGACGGUGAGGGACGAAGCCCUGGGGCACAAACCGGAUUAGAUACCCGGGUAGUCCAGGGUGUAAACGCUGCGGGCUUGGUGUUGGGGGUCCUACGUGGGCGCUCAGUGCCGGAGAGAAGUUGUUAAGCCCGCCGCCUGGGAGUACGUCGCAAGAC